CCCUUAGAUGUUCUGGGCCGCACGCGCGCUACACUGAUGCAUUCAACGAGUUUCUUCCUGGUCCGAGAGGAAUGGGUAACCUUUUGAAAGUGCAUCGUGAUAGGGAUAGACUAUUGCAAUUAUUGGUCUUCAACGAGGAAUUCCUAGUAGACGUAGUUCAUCAGACUGCAUCGAUUACGUCCCUGCCCUUUGUACACACCGCCCGUCGCACCUACCGAUUGAAUGGUCCGGUGAAAUCUCCGGACUGGCGUGAGUCGGAGCAAUCUGACAAACACCGGAAAGUUGAUUAAACCUUACCAUUUAGAGGAAGGUGAAGUCGUAACA
This 324-nucleotide ribosomal RNA is filed under the name uncultured eukaryote. Its description in RNAcentral is "partial 18S ribosomal RNA". It matches the Rfam family "Eukaryotic small subunit ribosomal RNA", at positions 1470 to 1796 of the family's 1831-position model. The record is from RNAcentral.